GGGUUAGUAGGUUAGUCGUACCACUGGUAUGUACCGGCUUUACUGAUUCCUCCUUCUUGAAGAACUGUAAUGCCAUUUAUUUGGUGCUGCAGGGAAUCAGGACUUGUUACUUUGAAAAAAUUAGAGUGUUUAAAGCAGGCUAACGCUUGAAUACAUUAGCAUGGAAUAAUAAAAUAGGACGUAACGAUCCUAUUUUGUUGGUUUCUAGGAUUGACGUA
Molecule: ribosomal RNA, 218 nt
Filed under: uncultured fungus
Lineage: Eukaryota; Fungi
Description: partial small subunit ribosomal RNA
Rfam family: Eukaryotic small subunit ribosomal RNA
Source: RNAcentral